This 85-nucleotide transfer RNA is filed under the name Felis catus (domestic cat). It matches the Rfam family "tRNA". From Rfam's summary of the family: Transfer RNA (tRNA) molecules are approximately 80 nucleotides in length. Their secondary structure includes four short double-helical elements and three loops (D, anti-codon, and T loops). Lineage: Eukaryota; Metazoa; Chordata; Mammalia; Carnivora; Felidae. The record is from Rfam by way of RNAcentral. RNAcentral also lists the same sequence under 1 other name.
GCCUGGGUGGCUCAGUCAGUUGAGCGUCUGACUUCAGCUCAGAUCAUGGUCUCACAGUUCAUGAGUUCGAGCCCCACAUCAGGCU